GCCCGGUCCCAUUCCGAACCCGGAAGCUAAGACCCACAGCGCCGAUGGUACUGCACCCGGGAGGGUGUGGGAGAGUAGGACACCGCCGGAC
This 91-nucleotide ribosomal RNA is filed under the name Arthrobacter sp. GN70. RNAcentral also lists the same sequence under 3 other names. Lineage: Bacteria; Bacillati; Actinomycetota; Actinomycetes; Micrococcales; Micrococcaceae. The record is from RNAcentral.